CCCUUAGAUGUUCUGGGCCGCACGCGCGCUACACUGAUGCAUUCAACGAGUCUAAAACCUGGUCUGAUGGGGCUGGGUAAUCUUUUGAAAGUGCAUCGUGAUUGGGAUAGAUGAUUGCAAUUCUUCAUCUUCAACGAGGAAUGCCUAGUAAACGCAAGUCAUCAGCUUGCAUUGAUUACGUCCCUGCCCUUUGUACACACCGCCCGUCGCUCCUACCGAUUGAAUGAUCCGAUGAAUACCAUGGAUUGAGAGUACGAAUGGGUUCGCUCAUUUCUGCUGCUCGAGAAGUGGAGUAAAUCUUAUCAUUUAGAGGAAGGAGAAGUCGUAACA
This 330-nucleotide ribosomal RNA is filed under the name uncultured eukaryote. Its description in RNAcentral is "partial 18S ribosomal RNA". It matches the Rfam family "Eukaryotic small subunit ribosomal RNA", at positions 1470 to 1796 of the family's 1831-position model. The record is from RNAcentral.